This 538-nucleotide ribosomal RNA is filed under the name fungal endophyte. RNAcentral's name for it is "eukaryotic LSU rRNA". It matches the Rfam family "Eukaryotic large subunit ribosomal RNA", at positions 51 to 598 of the family's 3401-position model. The record is from RNAcentral. Lineage: Eukaryota; Fungi.
CGGAGGAAAAGAAACCAACAGGGAUUGCCCCAGUAACGGCGAGUGAAGCGGCAACAGCUCAAAUUUGAAAUCUGGCCCCCAGGGCCCGAGUUGUAAUUUGCAGAGGAUGCUUUUGGCGCGGUGCCUUCCGAGUUCCCUGGAACGGGACGCCAUAGAGGGUGAGAGCCCCGUCUGGUCGGACGCCUAGCCUGUGUAAAGCUCCUUCGACGAGUCGAGUAGUUUGGGAAUGCUGCUCUAAAUGGGAGGUAUAUGUCUUCUAAAGCUAAAUACCGGCCAGAGACCGAUAGCGCACAAGUAGAGUGAUCGAAAGAUGAAAAGCACUUUGAAAAGAGGGUUAAAUAGUACGUGAAAUUGUUGAAAGGGAAGCGCUUGUGACCAGACUUGGGCCCGGUGGAUCAUCCAGCGUUCUCGCUGGUGCACUCCGCCGGGUUCAGGCCAGCAUCAGUUCGCCGCGGGGGAAAAAGGCUUCGGGAACGUGGCUCCUACGGGAGUGUUAUAGCCCGUUGCAUAAUACCCUGGGGCGGACUGAGGUUCGCGC